CCUACGGGUGGCAGCAGUAGGGAAUCUUCCACAAUGGGCGAAAGCCUGAUGGAGCAACGCCGCGUGGGUGAAGAAGGUCUUCGGAUCGUAAAACCCUGUUGUUAGAGAAGAAAGUGCGUGAGAGUAACUGUUCACGUUUCGACGGUAUCUAACCAGAAAGCCACGGCUAACUACGUGCCAGCAGCCGCGGUAAUACGUAGGUGGCAAGCGGUAUCCGGAUUUAUUGGGCGUAAAGGGAACGCAGGCGGUCUUUUAAGUCUGAUGUGAAAGCCUUCGGCUUAACCGGAGUAGUGCAUUGGAAACUGGGAGACGUGAGUGCAGAAGAGGAGAGUGGAACUCCAUGUGUAGCGGUGAAAUGCGUAGAUAUAUGGGAGAACACCAGUGGCGAAGGCGGCUCUCUGGUCUGUAACUGACGCUGAGGUUCGAAAGUGUGGGUAUCAAACAGGAUUAGAUACCCCAGUAGUC
RNAcentral lists this ribosomal RNA (465 nucleotides) under uncultured bacterium. RNAcentral's name for it is "partial 16S ribosomal RNA". It matches the Rfam family "Bacterial small subunit ribosomal RNA", at positions 338 to 795 of the family's 1533-position model. The record is from RNAcentral.